GUCUACAGCCAUGCCACCCUGAACGCGCCCGAUCCUAUCUGAUCUCGGAAGCUAAGCAGGGUCAGGCCUGGUUAGUACUCAGAUGGGAGACCACCUGGGAAUACCAGGUGCUGUAGGCU
Molecule: ribosomal RNA, 119 nt
Filed under: Pteropus alecto (black flying fox)
Lineage: Eukaryota; Metazoa; Chordata; Mammalia; Chiroptera; Pteropodidae
Source: RNAcentral